This 301-nucleotide ribosomal RNA is filed under the name uncultured bacterium. RNAcentral describes it as "partial 16S ribosomal RNA". It matches the Rfam family "Bacterial small subunit ribosomal RNA", at positions 509 to 807 of the family's 1533-position model. The record is from RNAcentral.
CAGCAGCCGCGGGAAUACGAAGUGUGCAAGCGUUAAUCGGAAUUACUGGGCGUAAAGCGCGCGUAGGCGGUUACUCAAGUCAGAGGUGAAAGCCCGGGGCUCAACCCCGGAACUGCCUUUGAAACUAGGUGACUAGAAUCUUGGAGAGGUCAGUGGAAUUCCGAGUGUAGAGGUGAAAUUCGUAGAUAUUCGGAAGAACACCAGUGGCGAAGGCGACUGACUGGACAAGUAUUGACGCUGAGGUGCGAAAGCGUGGGGAGCAAACAGGAUUAGAUACCCGCGUAGUCCCUGUCUCUUAUAC